UCGCCUGUUUAUCAAAAACAUCUCUUCUUGGUUUGUUUUUUGAAGUAUGGCCUGCCCACUGAUGAUGUUUGAAGGGCCGCGGUAUUUUGACCGUGCAAAGGUAGCAUAAUCAUUAGUUCUUUAAUUGUGAACUGGUAUGAAUGGCUUGACGAGGUGCUUACUGUCUUUGUGUUUAAAAGUUUUGUUGAAUUUGGUCUUCGGGUAAAAAUACUCGGAUUUUAUUGUGGGACAGAGCCUAUAGAGUUUUAUGCAAUCUUCUUUUUUUUGUUUGUUAUUUCUUGCUGAGUUUGGUUGCAUUUUGUUGGGGUGAUGGGAAAAUAUAUUUAACUUUUCUUCUUAACAUUUCACUUAUUUGUGUUUUUAUGAUCCUUUAUUAUUGAUUAUAAGAUUAAAUUACCUUAGGGAUAACAGCGUAAA
This 417-nucleotide ribosomal RNA is filed under the name Incisitermes schwarzi. Its description in RNAcentral is "partial 16S ribosomal RNA". The stretch from base 1 to 215 matches the Rfam family "Archaeal large subunit ribosomal RNA", at positions 1888 to 2143 of the family's 2987-position model. The record is from RNAcentral. Lineage: Eukaryota; Metazoa; Arthropoda; Insecta; Blattodea; Kalotermitidae.